AUCCAGCUGAUGAGUCUCAAAUAGGACGAAACGCAAGUCCUGGAU
This 45-nucleotide non-coding RNA is filed under the name Schistosoma mattheei. The record is from RNAcentral. Lineage: Eukaryota; Metazoa; Platyhelminthes; Trematoda; Strigeidida; Schistosomatidae.